UUCUGGUGAUCUUUACUGCUCCCUCCUUGAACCACAGGCAGGCCCUUGGAUCGAGCCCUCGGAUUAAGCUCUGCGGUGGGACCAGGAGCUCCCGCAGCCGCGCAUGAUUCACGCUGCGUGUGCGUGCCAAGCUCCUUAUUUACACAGCGUCUGCAUCACAGUUUAUCUUGUUCUGGCUCCUUCGCUGGAACUGGCAGGGACAGCAGACACGGGCGGUUGAAUCACCACCUCCUGCAGCUGUGCCAGAGCCUCUGCACGCUCUUCUUUACACUCC
Molecule: long non-coding RNA, 274 nt
Organism: Nothoprocta perdicaria
Lineage: Eukaryota; Metazoa; Chordata; Aves; Tinamiformes; Tinamidae
Exons: 2
Source: RefSeq, a predicted model, not a curated record